This 237-nucleotide ribosomal RNA is filed under the name uncultured bacterium. RNAcentral describes it as "partial 16S ribosomal RNA". It matches the Rfam family "Bacterial small subunit ribosomal RNA", at positions 99 to 334 of the family's 1533-position model. The record is from RNAcentral.
CGAACGGGUGAGUAACGCGUGAGGAACCUGCCUCAAAGAGGGGGACAACAGUUGGAAACGACUGCCAAUACCGCAUAAGCCCACGGGUCGGCAUCGACCUGAGGGAAAAGGAGCAAUCCGCUUUGAGAUGGCCUCGCGUCCGAUUAGCUAGUUGGUGAGGUAACGGCCCACCAAGGCGACGAUCGGUAGCCGGACUGAGAGGUUGAACGGCCACAUUGGGACUGAGACACGGCCCAG